Molecule: long non-coding RNA, 1808 nt
Organism: Monomorium pharaonis (pharaoh ant)
Lineage: Eukaryota; Metazoa; Arthropoda; Insecta; Hymenoptera; Formicidae
Exons: 2
Source: RefSeq, a predicted model, not a curated record
AAUGUAAUAAAAUUUUAAUGUGUAAUUAAUAAUAUUAAAUAAAAUAUUAAUAAAAUUAAUAAUAUUAAUAAAAUUAAAUAAAAUAUUAAUAAAAUUAAAUAAAAUAUUUAACUUCGACUUCAGAUAUCUUGUAUAGCUGUUAUCUGCGCGCGCAGCGGCUACUACAUCGAUAAUUGGUCGGCAAGCGACAUUUAUGACAAAGCUGACGCUCAUUGGAUAUCGCGCGUUGAACGUGACGCUUGCCGCGCUAGUGUGCCGAGGCACGCUGUUUCAUCACUCGAAUCGUUCACCACCGUCCACCGCCGUCAUUGCGUGUAAUUGCUUAGUUUUUUUGUGUAAUCGUCGAUAUGUUCGAUCGUUCUCAUGCCAGCGUGUGUUCCGUCCAUCUUAUAACGCGGGCACGCGGCUUCGCCGCCGACAGUUCGAUCGUCCUCGUGCCGGCUCGCGCUCCGUUCAUCGUAUAACGCGAUCGGGCACGCCGCUUCGCCACCGUUAUUGCGUGCAAUCGUCGAUAGUUCGAUCGUCCUCGUGCCGGCGUGUGCUCCAUCCAUUUUAUAACGCGGGCACGCGGCUUCGCCGCCGACAUUUUGUGCAAUCGUGGUCGAUAAUUCGAUCGUCCUCGUGCUCCAUUCUUGUUAUACAUCAGAUUUGCUGCCAUGCAGCAUCAAUUAUACAGUCGUUCGGUUACACAAAACUUUAUAUGAAAGUACAGCUUGCCCUAGGAAGUAAAUUAUUUGUAUUCUGUCCCAUUCAUAAAAUAGAGAUGCAGAAGGUAACAUUUGUUGAGUGGAGUAACUUAUAUAUUACAAAGAAUCGAAUUGAAAAGUCGAUUUUAUACAGCGAGUUAUAUAUAUGUUUAUUGAUGUAAUACUGCAAAUGUAAAAAAAAAAUACUGAGUUACACAAAACUUUAUACGUAAGUAGUUAUUUUCUUUAAAAUUUGCUAUGUAUAAUGUAUACAUUCUUAUAUCCAUACUUAUAUAUAUAUCACAUAUAAAAUCAUGACUUUAAUUACAUAACUUAUAUACAUGCGUGAUUAUAUUUUAAAUUUCUUAAUUUUUCUUGAAUUUGCUUAUUUUUAAUGCAGAUUUAUUUUUAUUUUACAGCUUGCCCUAGGAAGUAAAUGAUUUGUAUUCUGUCCCAUUCAUAAAAUAGAGUUGCAGAAGGUAACAUUUGUUGAGUGGAGUAACUUAUAUAUUACAAAGAAUCGAAUUGAAAAGUCGAUUUCAUACAGCGAGUUAUAUAUAUGUUUAUUGAUGUAAUACUGCAAAUGUAAAAAAAAAAUACUGAGCUACACAAAACUUUAUACGUAAGUAGUUAUUUUCUUUAAAAUUUGCUAUGUAUAAUGUAUACAUUCUUAUAUCCAUACUUAUAUGUAUAUAUAUCACAUAUAAAAUCAAGACUUUAAUUACAUAACUUAUAUACAUGCGUGAUUAUAUUUUAAGUUUCUUAAUUUUUCUUAAAUUUGCUUAUUUUUAAUGCAGAUUUAUUUUUAUUUUACAGCUUGCCCUAGGAAGUAAAUGAUUUAUAUGACGAUAACGGCAUCUGCUGUGAAUUUGCCAAAGCUGUUAUAUAUAUUACAAGAACUUUACUCUAUUAUAUGUGUAUAGCACUAUUCUUUAGAUAGAUAUACGCUUGUAAACUGACCGUUAGAUGUAAUCACACAUUACCGCAACAUUUUCUGUUUUACACAUCCUAUAUAAUAUAUUUCAAGCCGUUGUAGUGGUAUAAUUCCAUUUUUUGUGAAGUUGGAGUUAACCACUUGUUUAGAAUCACACAGGAAUAUUCUGUUUAUUUAAACAAAUGGAG